UCCUUGGUACUGCUGAUGUCUGUGGCA
Molecule: small RNA, 27 nt
Filed under: Bombyx mori (domestic silkworm)
Lineage: Eukaryota; Metazoa; Arthropoda; Insecta; Lepidoptera; Bombycidae
Description: ovarian small RNA-28072
Source: RNAcentral